GGUUAAGCGACUAAGCGUACACGGUGGAUGCCCUGGCAGUCAGAGGCGAUGAAGGACGUGCUAAUCUGCGAAAAGCGUCGGUAAGGUGAUAUGAACCGUUAUAACCGGCGAUGUCCGAAUGGGGAAACCCAGUGCAAUUCGUUGCACUAUCGUUAACUGAAUACAUAGGUUAACGAGGCGAACCGGGGGAACUGAAACAUCUAAGUACCCCGAGGAAAAGAAAUCAACCGAGAUUCCCCCAGUAGCGGCGAGCGAACGGGGAGCAGCCCAGAGUCUGAAUCAGCUUGUGUGUUAGUGGAACGGUCUGGAAAGUCCGACGGUACAGGGUGAUAGUCCCGUACACCAAAAUGCACAGGCUGUGAACUCGAAGAGUAGGGCGGGACACGUGGUAUCCUGUCUGAAUAUGGGGGGACCAUCCUCCAAGGCUAAAUACUCCUGACUGACCGAUAGUGAACCAGUACCGUGAGGGAAAGGCGAAAAGAACCCCGGCGAGGGGAGUGAAAAAGAACCUGAAACCGUGUACGUACAAGCAGUGGGAGCACCUUCGGGUGUGACUGCGUACCUUUUGUAUAAUGGGUCAGCGACUUAUAUUCUGUAGCAAGGUUAACCGUAUAGGGGAGCCGCAGGGAAACCGAGUCUUAACUGGGCGUUAAGUUGCAGGGUAUAGACCCGAAACCCGGUGAUCUAGCCAUGGGCAGGUUGAAGGUUGGGUAACACUAACUGGAGGACCGAACCGACUAAUGUUGAAAAAUUAGCGGAUGACUUGUGGCUGGGGGUGAAAGGCCAAUCAAACCGGGAGAUAGCUGGUUCUCCCCGAAAGCUAUUUAGGUAGCGCCUCGUGAAUUCAUCUUCGGGGGUAGAGCACUGUUUCGGCUAGGGGGUCAUCCCGACUUACCAACCCGAUGCAAACUACGAAUACCGAAGAAUGUUAUCACGGGAGACACACGGCGGGUGCUAACGUCCGUCGUGAAGAGGGAAACAACCCAGACCGCCAGCUAAGGUCCCAAAGUCAUGGUUAAGUGGGAAACGAUGUGGGAAGGCACAGACAGCCAGGAUGUUGGCUUAGAAGCAGCCAUCAUUUAAAGAAAGCGUAAUAGCUCACUGGUCGAGUCGGCCUGCGCGGAAGAUGUAACGGGGCUAAACCAUGCACCGAAGCUGCGGCAGCGACACUAUGUGUUGUUGGGUAGGGGAGCGUUCUGUAAGCCUGCGAAGGUGACCUGUGAGGGUUGCUGGAGGUAUCAGAAGUGCGAAUGCUGACAUAAGUAACGAUAAAGCGGGUGAAAAGCCCGCUCGCCGGAAGACCAAGGGUUCCUGUCCAACGUUAAUCGGGGCAGGGUGAGUCGACCCCUAAGGCGAGGCCGAAAGGCGUAGUCGAUGGGAAACAGGUUAAUAUUCCUGUACUUGGUGUUACUGCGAAGGGGGGACGGAGAAGGCUAUGUUAGCCGGGCGACGGUUGUCCCGGUUUAAGCAUGUAGGCUGGUUGUCCAGGCAAAUCCGGAUAAUCAAGGCUGAGGUGUGAUGACGAGGCACUACGGUGCUGAAGUAACAAAUGCCCUGCUUCCAGGAAAAGCCUCUAAGCAUCAGGUAACAUCAAAUCGUACCCCAAACCGACACAGGUGGUCAGGUAGAGAAUACCAAGGCGCUUGAGAGAACUCGGGUGAAGGAACUAGGCAAAAUGGUGCCGUAACUUCGGGAGAAGGCACGCUGGUGUGUAGGUGAAGUCCCUGCGGAUGGAGCUGAGACCAGUCGAAGAUACCAGCUGGCUGCAACUGUUUAUUAAAAACACAGCACUGUGCAAACACGAAAGUGGACGUAUACGGUGUGACGCCUGCCCGGUGCCGGAAGGUUAAUUGAUGGGGUUAUCCGUAAGGAGAAGCUCUUGAUCGAAGCCCCGGUAAACGGCGGCCGUAACUAUAACGGUCCUAAGGUAGCGAAAUUCCUUGUCGGGUAAGUUCCGACCUGCACGAAUGGCGUAAUGAUGGCCAGGCUGUCUCCACCCGAGACUCAGUGAAAUUGAACUCGCUGUGAAGAUGCAGUGUACCCGCGGCAAGACGGAAAGACCCCGUGAACCUUUACUAUAGCUUGACACUGAACAUUGAGCCUUGAUGUGUAGGAUAGGUGGGAGGCUUUGAAGCGUGGACGCCAGUCUGCGUGGAGCCAACCUUGAAAUACCACCCUUUAAUGUUUGAUGUUCUAACGUUGGCCCCUGACCGGGGUUGCGGACAGUGUCUGGUGGGUAGUUUGACUGGGGCGGUCUCCUCCCAAAGCGUAACGGAGGAGCACGAAGGUUAGCUAAUCCUGGUCGGACAUCAGGAGGUUAGUGCAAUGGCAUAAGCUAGCUUGACUGCGAGCGUGACGGCGCGAGCAGGUGCGAAAGCAGGUCAUAGUGAUCCGGUGGUUCUGAAUGGAAGGGCCAUCGCUCAACGGAUAAAAGGUACUCCGGGGAUAACAGGCUGAUACCGCCCAAGAGUUCAUAUCGACGGCGGUGUUUGGCACCUCGAUGUCGGCUCAUCACAUCCUGGGGCUGAAGUAGGUCCCAAGGGUAUGGCUGUUCGCCAUUUAAAGUGGUACGCGAGCUGGGUUUAGAACGUCGUGAGACAGUUCGGUCCCUAUCUGCCGUGGGCGCUGGAGAAUUGAGGGGGGCUGCUUCUAGUACGAGAGGACCGGAGUGGACGCAUCACUGGUGUUCGGGUUGUCAUGCCAAUGGCACUGCCCGGUAGCUAAAUGCGGAAGAGAUAAGUGCUGAAAGCAUCUAAGCACGAAACUUGCCCCGAGAUGAGUUCUCCCUGAGACUUUAAGUCUCCUGAAGGAACGUUAAAGACGAUGACGUUGAUAGGCCGGGUGUGUAAGCGCAGCGAUGCGUUGAGCUAACCGGUACUAAUGAACCGUGAGGCUUAACCUUAC
This 2904-nucleotide ribosomal RNA is filed under the name Klebsiella pneumoniae KCTC 2242. RNAcentral's name for it is "bacterial LSU rRNA". It matches the Rfam family "Bacterial large subunit ribosomal RNA". Lineage: Bacteria; Pseudomonadati; Pseudomonadota; Gammaproteobacteria; Enterobacterales; Enterobacteriaceae. The record is from RNAcentral.